UACGUAGGUGGCAAGCGUUAUCCGGAUUUAUUGGGUUUAAAGGGUGCGUAGGCGGAGUGUCAAGUCAGCGGUAAAAUUUCGGGGCUCAACCCCGUCGUGCCGUUGAAACUGGCGUUCUUGAGUGAGCGAGAAGUAUGCGGAAUGCGUGGUGUAGCGGUGAAAUGCAUAGAUAUCACGCAGAACGCCGAUUGCGAAGGCAGCUUACCGGCGCUCAACUGACGCUGAGGCACGAAAGUGCGGGUAUCGAACAGG
This 252-nucleotide ribosomal RNA is filed under the name uncultured Bacteroidales bacterium. RNAcentral describes it as "partial 16S ribosomal RNA". It matches the Rfam family "Bacterial small subunit ribosomal RNA", at positions 524 to 776 of the family's 1533-position model. Lineage: Bacteria; Pseudomonadati; Bacteroidota; Bacteroidia; Bacteroidales. The record is from RNAcentral.